This 141-nucleotide small nuclear RNA is filed under the name Moniliophthora perniciosa FA553. RNAcentral's name for it is "U4 spliceosomal RNA". It matches the Rfam family "U4 spliceosomal RNA". From Rfam's summary of the family: U4 small nuclear RNA (U4 snRNA) is a component of the major U2-dependent spliceosome. Lineage: Eukaryota; Fungi; Basidiomycota; Agaricomycetes; Agaricales; Marasmiaceae. The record is from Rfam by way of RNAcentral.
UCUCUUGUGCUCGGGCACGUACUAUCGCCAGUGAGGUCUUUACCGAGGCAUAGUCUUUUGCUGAUUGCAAAUUACACAUCCGAACCCGUCUGUUAGCUUCGGCUUUCAGCAAUUUUUGGACUCUCUUCGUUUAUCGAAGAC